RNAcentral lists this ribosomal RNA (820 nucleotides) under uncultured Thiobacillus sp. RNAcentral's name for it is "bacterial SSU rRNA". It matches the Rfam family "Bacterial small subunit ribosomal RNA", at positions 36 to 849 of the family's 1533-position model. The record is from RNAcentral. Lineage: Bacteria; Pseudomonadati; Pseudomonadota; Betaproteobacteria; Nitrosomonadales; Thiobacillaceae.
CUUGGCGGAUGCUUUACCAUGCAAGUCGAACGGCAGCACGGGAGCUUGCUCCUGGUGGCGAGUGGCGAACGGGUGAGUAAUGCGUCGGAACGUACCGAGUAAUGGGGGAUAACGCAGCGAAAGCUGUGCUAAUACCGCAUACGCCCUGAGGGGGAAAGUGGGGGAUCGCAAGACCUCACGUUAUUCGAGCGGCCGACGUCUGAUUAGCUAGUUGGUGGGGUAAAGGCCUACCAAGGCGACGAUCAGUAGCGGGUCUGAGAGGAUGAUCCGCCACACUGGGACUGAGACACGGCCCAGACUCCUACGGGAGGCAGCAGUGGGGAAUUUUGGACAAUGGGGGCAACCCUGAUCCAGCCAUUCCGCGUGAGUGAAGAAGGCCUUCGGGUUGUAAAGCUCUUUCAGCUGGAACGAAACGGUACAUCCUAAUACGGUGUGCUAAUGACGGUACCAGCAGAAGAAGCACCGGCUAACUACGUGCCAGCAGCCGCGGUAAUACGUAGGGUGCGAGCGUUAAUCGGAAUUACUGGGCGUAAAGCGUGCGCAGGCGGAUUGUUAAGCAAGAUGUGAAAUCCCCGGGCUUAACCUGGGAAUGGCAUUUUGAACUGGCAGUCUAGAGUGUGUCAGAGGGGGGUGGAAUUCCACGUGUAGCAGUGAAAUGCGUAGAGAUGUGGAGGAACACCAAUGGCGAAGGCAGCCCCCUGGGAUAACACUGACGCUCAUGUACGAAAGCGUGGGUAGCAAACAGGAUUAGAUACCCUGGUAGUCCACGCCCUAAACGAUGUCAACUGGUUGUUGGGGGAGUGAAAUCCUUUAGUAACGA